Molecule: non-coding RNA, 83 nt
Filed under: uncultured Xylanibacillus sp.
Lineage: Bacteria; Bacillati; Bacillota; Bacilli; Caryophanales; Paenibacillaceae
Description: Cyclic di-GMP-I riboswitch
Rfam family: c-di-GMP-I riboswitch aptamer
About the family: GEMM was predicted in a large-scale screen for bacterial structured RNA regulatory elements. Genes associated with GEMM are involved in a diverse array of functions, including chemotaxis regulation, signal transduction, secretion and chitin.
Source: RNAcentral
CCGAUAAAGGCAAAUCUAAUGAAAAUUAGAGACGCAAAGCUAUAGGGCCUUCCUUACCUAGUAAGAUGGCAGCCAGUUUCCGA